GCCGAGGUGGCGGAACUGGCAGACGCGCUAGCCUUAGGAGCUAGUGGGAGCAAUCCCGUGCAGGUUCAACUCCUGUCCUCGGCA
RNAcentral lists this transfer RNA (84 nucleotides) under Candidatus Azambacteria bacterium. RNAcentral's name for it is "tRNA-Leu". It matches the Rfam family "tRNA". From Rfam's summary of the family: Transfer RNA (tRNA) molecules are approximately 80 nucleotides in length. Their secondary structure includes four short double-helical elements and three loops (D, anti-codon, and T loops). The record is from RNAcentral. Lineage: Bacteria; Candidatus Azamiibacteriota.